This 409-nucleotide small RNA is filed under the name Pongo abelii (Sumatran orangutan). RNAcentral describes it as "processed transcript". The record is from RNAcentral. Lineage: Eukaryota; Metazoa; Chordata; Mammalia; Primates; Hominidae.
CUUGCAUGCAAUUAUCACAGCCCGAGUGCUCCUCCGUUGAGAGACUUCGCCCCCGAGACCGCUGACUGUGAAUGACAAAUCAAAAGUCAGGGUUGCAGAAUCAGCCGGACUUUCCUGCUCAUUUGCAGCAGAGAGAGGAAGCAGAGAAUGAAAGAUUCUGAAAAUAAAGGAGUGGUUAUUAUUGAGUCGAGAAUUUUUGGGAAAAGUAACACGUGGAGAGUCAAUUUUUGAGUGGAAGGAGUCUGAAGAGAGGGUAGGAACCAACCUCCUACUACCCACCAGGUGCCUCAUCUCCAGACAUGGAGCCCAGCUAUGGGGGAGGUCUCUUUGACAUGGUAAAAGGAGGUGCAGGGAGGCUCUUUAGUAACCUAAAGGACAACUUGAAAGACACCCUCAAAGACACAUCUUC